AGUCGAGCGAACUGAUUAGAAGCUUGCUUCUAUGACGUUAGCGGCGGACGGGUGAGUAACACGUGGGCAACCUGCCUGUAAGACUGGGAUAACUUCGGGAAACCGAAGCUAAUACCGGAUAGGAUCUUCUCCUUCAUGGGAGAUGAUUGAAAGAUGGUUUCGGCUAUCACUUACAGAUGGGCCCGCGGUGCAUUAGCUAGUUGGUGAGGUAACGGCUCACCAAGGCAACGAUGCAUAGCCGACCUGAGAGGGUGAUCGGCCACACUGGGACUGAGACACGGCCCAGACUCCUACGGGAGGCAGCAGUAGGGAAUCUUCCGCAAUGGACGAAAGUCUGACGGAGCAACGCCGCGUGAGUGAUGAAGGCUUUCGGGUCGUAAAACUCUGUUGUUAGGGAAGAACAAGUACGAGAGUAACUGCUCGUACCUUGACGGUACCUAACCAGAAAGCCACGGCUAACUACGUGCCAGCAGCCGCGGUAAUACGUAGGUGGCAAGCGUUAUCCGGAAUUAUUGGGCGUAAAGCGCGCGCAGGCGGUUUCUUAAGUCUGAUGUGAAAGCCCACGGCUCAACCGUGGAGGGUCAUUGGAAACUGGGGAACUUGAGUGCAGAAGAGAAAAGCGGAAUUCCACGUGUAGCGGUGAAAUGCGUAGAGAUGUGGAGGAACACCAGUGGCGAAGGCGGCUUUUUGGUCUGUAACUGACGCUGAGGCGCGAAAGCGUGGGGAGCAAACAGGAUUAGAUACCCUAGUAGUCCACGCCGUAAACGAUGAGUGCUAAGUGUUAGAGGGUUUCCGCCCUUUUAGUGCUGCAGCUAACGCAUUAAGCACUCCGCCUGGGGAGUACGGUCGCAAGACUGAAACUCAAAGGAAUUUGACGGGGGGCCCGCACAAGCGGUGGAGCAUGUGGUUUAAAUUCGAAGCAAC
This 924-nucleotide ribosomal RNA is filed under the name uncultured bacterium. RNAcentral describes it as "bacterial SSU rRNA". It matches the Rfam family "Bacterial small subunit ribosomal RNA", at positions 60 to 960 of the family's 1533-position model. The record is from RNAcentral.